AUAUGUAUAUAUAUAUAUAUCAUGUAGAAAUUCAGUAUUUUUUAAGUGCAAAUGUUUGUCUUAGUGCCUAUGCUAGGCAAAAAUAAACUGAGGCUAAGCCAUUGAACCUGUACCUGCUUAUCUGUAAAGAAAAAUCUUCUCCGGGAUUCAUGUAAAGAAAGAUACUAUUUUUGAUGAGACCCUGGUCCAGCUGUCAUUGGAGCAAAGACAUGGAAUCAACUUAAAUGCCCAUCAAUGAUAGACUGGAUAAAGAAAAUGUGGUACAUUUACAACAUGGAAUACUAUGCAGCCAUGAAAAAGAAUGAGAUCUUGUUCUUUUCUGGACAUGGAUGGAGCUGGAGACCAUUAUCCUUAGCAAAUUAAUGCAGGAACAGAAAACCAAAUACUUAAUGUUCUCACAUAUGAGCAUGAGUUAAAUGAUGAGAACACAUACAGGGCACAGCACACAUGGGGCCUAUCAGAGAGUGAAGGGUGGGAGGAGGGAGAGGAUCAGGAAAAAUAACUAAUGGGUACUAGGCUUAAUGUCUGGGUGAUGACAUAGCCUGUAUAACAAACUCCAAGACGCACGUUUACCUAUGUAAUAAACCUGCAUUUGUAUGCCUGAACUUAAAAAAUUAAAAGAAAGUUAAAAAAUCAUCUAAUUGGAACCUUGAAGAAUGCUACCACUGGAUCCUUUUCCAGUGGUAACAAAUGAUGGUAUACUAAUAAGCAUUAUGAAUAAAUUGUGGAUUAUUAUCAGCAAGACACAAAUAAAUUAUAGUGAAUAUUGCAACCUCAUAACACAUGACCAAGGCUUAUAUAUUUUUUCCAGCAUUCCAUAAAAAAUACUCUGCUAAGCCAACCUUCUAAAUUUAGUUGGAAAACAUUCAAAGCAUAUGAAAAUAUUUGGUUGUGAAAUGCAUUUGAAUGUACAUCUUAUAAAAAUCUUUAUUUAUUUUUUUGAGACAAGGUCUCCCUCUGUUACUUACCCUGGAAUGCAGUAGUGUGAUUACAGCUCACUGUAGUUUUAACAUCUCAGACCCAAGCAAUCCUCCCACCUCAGCCUCCCAAGAAGCUGGGAUUAUGGUACAUGCCACCAUAUCUAGCUAAUUUUUUUUGAAUAAAUAUUUUUUGUAGAGACAAUGUAUUAUGUUGCCCAGUGUAUUAUGUUGCCCAAUGUAUUAUGGUCUCAAACUCUUGGGUUCAAGUGUGCCUCCCACCUUGGCCUCCCAAAGUGCUGGGAUUAUAGGCAUGAACCACUAUACCCAGUCCACAUCUAAUAAAAUUCUUAAUUUCUUUACUCAGUCCUUCAUUACUUCCUUUUGUAACUUCCCAAUGAUUAUACAAAGAAAAAAAAAUCUGCUAUGCCCAAGUAUGAAUUUCUUUGAAAGGCAAAUGGAGAGUCAAGAAGAAAGGAGAGCUUAAUGAAGACAUUCAGAUUAUUUAAGGACAGUUGCCACAUGGGUUGAAACUAUGAUUUCUUUUGCAGGACUGAGUUGUCAACACACUCCUUGUGAACAAGGAAAAGGUGCCCUUACUUUUGUAUUCUGACAGUAAAUAUUUAUUGUGUGAACAAAUUAAUAAAUGCAAAUGAAUAAAUGAAUGCCUACUAGUUUUUUUUUUUUUUUUUUAACCAUUCUUGGACUAAAUCUGGAAUGCUUGAUACAAA
Long non-coding RNA from Sapajus apella (tufted capuchin), 1648 nucleotides. RefSeq lists it as uncharacterized. The transcript has 2 exons. The record is from RefSeq and is a predicted model, not a curated record. Lineage: Eukaryota; Metazoa; Chordata; Mammalia; Primates; Cebidae.